This 1059-nucleotide long non-coding RNA is filed under the name Macaca mulatta (Rhesus monkey). Its description in RNAcentral is "lncRNA (ENSMMUG00000055799.1)". Lineage: Eukaryota; Metazoa; Chordata; Mammalia; Primates; Cercopithecidae. The record is from RNAcentral.
AAAUAACAUGAUGCUUGAAAAAUAAUUUUUUAAAUCAGUGUGUUUUGUUUUGUGUAAAAUAAAGGAGUGAGGUCUGAGAACACCAAAUUUUCAAAACUUGGGUGUCAUGACUUGUAAAUGCUAGGAAUUAUGGCUAAAUGCACUAUGUCAUGCUAUUUUUAUUUCAUCUGUUGUUAACACUAUUUUCCUAUGUUCCAAGUCUAAUAUAUCUAAUUGAGAACUAAACUUGAUGAAGAGGGAUAUCAGUGUUUGACAGGAAUCUUUAUUUUAUCCUUGAAGAAACUGACAGUGCAAUGUCCUUAAAUACCAUCUGAAAAGCCUCACUGAGAUAACAAAUUACGUUUUAUGACUCACUAUUCUCAUUCCAUCUUAAGCAGAAAGUUCCAAAUUCAAUACACAGAGGUCACUAAGGGAACAUUCUGUCUUCAAAUCAUCCUUAUGUAGUCUCUCAGUUUUCUGGCAGUGGUUUAGCUGGAUGGGAUCAUAAGUGAGAGCCAGGGGAACCUUUUGUUUUGAGCCAAAAGUUGUGCGAUCAGGACCCAGUGGUCUUGGAUUUUCCAGGUCAAAGGCUGUCAAAAAAUGUCAUUGGGGAAUGGGUCUGAGGAGGAAAGCAGUAGAAUGUUCAACUUGAGCCACAGUGGUGCAUUACUCAGUGUAAAGAAAUGCAUCAUUGUGAUAACCUCUGAGCCCUGCAGCCACUUUGUGAAAUACAGAAUUGUUCUGAUUUAUGAAUAUGAUAUUAUGGCUGCAGCAAGUCUCUCGCCUACACAUGAAGUUUUAGACCAGGAGUAUCAAGGUGCAAGCACCUUCAGCAAUGGGCAGUGCAGGAGCCCUAGCAUGUAGGUCCUACCCAACUGGAGCUGCGGAGACCCUGCCUUCCUCAGCAGCUACACAGACAGACUGAUGUUGAACAAUUAAAUAUGAGGACAUUUGAGUGGAUUCGUUGAUCAUUCUUUCUCCACAAUGGAAUGCUCUGAGAGAUGAGCUUCAUAUUGCCUCACUGGGGACAUUCCAUAUGUCCACAUAACCAGUUGGGUUUUCCUGUGACGCUAUGAUCUG